GUUGAUGUAGCUUACUAAAUAAAAGCACGGCACUGAAGAUGCCGAGACGAGAAAUAACAUUCUCCAAAAACA
This 72-nucleotide transfer RNA is filed under the name Eremias stummeri (Stummer's racerunner). RNAcentral's name for it is "tRNA-Phe". It matches the Rfam family "tRNA". From Rfam's summary of the family: Transfer RNA (tRNA) molecules are approximately 80 nucleotides in length. Their secondary structure includes four short double-helical elements and three loops (D, anti-codon, and T loops). Lineage: Eukaryota; Metazoa; Chordata; Lepidosauria; Squamata; Lacertidae. The record is from RNAcentral.